UACAGAGGGUGCGAGCGUUAAUCGGAAUUACUGGGCGUAAAGCGCACGUAGGUGGCGACGUAAGUCGGGUGUGAAAGCCCCGGGCUCAACCUGGGAAUUGCAUUCGAGACUGCAUUGCUGGAGUACGGAAGAGGAAGGCGGAAUUCCCGGUGUAGCGGUGAAAUGCGUAGAUAUCAGGAGGAACACCGGUGGCGAAGGCGGGUCUCUGGGCCGAAACUGACGCUGAGGAGCGAAAGCGUGGGGAGCAAACAGG
RNAcentral lists this ribosomal RNA (253 nucleotides) under uncultured bacterium. RNAcentral describes it as "partial 16S ribosomal RNA". It matches the Rfam family "Bacterial small subunit ribosomal RNA", at positions 524 to 776 of the family's 1533-position model. The record is from RNAcentral.